UCGAGAAUUUUUCACAAUGGGCGCAAGCCUGAUGGAGCGACGCCGCGUGGGGGAUGAAUGGCUUCGGCCCGUAAACCCCUGUCAUUUGCGAUCAACCGUUAUUAUUUAAAAGAUGAUACCUGAUAGUAGCGAAAGAGGAAGGGACGGCUAACUCUGUGCCAGCAGCCGCGGUAAUAAAGAGGUCCCAAGCGUUGUUCGGAUUCACUGGGCGUAAAGGGUGCGUAGGUGGCGGGGUAAGGCGGAUGUGAAAUCUCGGAGCUCAACUCCGAAAUGGCAUUGGAAACUACCCUG
This 291-nucleotide ribosomal RNA is filed under the name uncultured prokaryote. RNAcentral describes it as "partial 16S ribosomal RNA". It matches the Rfam family "Bacterial small subunit ribosomal RNA", at positions 355 to 640 of the family's 1533-position model. The record is from RNAcentral.